CCAGCGAACUUGGCAGAGAUGCCUUGGUGCCUUCGGGAACGCUGAGACAGGUGCUGCAUGGCUGUCGUCAGCUCGUGUUGUGAAAUGUUGGGUUAAGUCCCGCAACGAGCGCAACCCUUAUCCUUUGCUGCCAGCGAUUCGGUCGGGAACUCAAAGGAGACUGCCGGUGAUAAACCGGAGGAAGGUGGGGAUGACGUCAAGUCAUCAUGGCCCUUACGAGUAGGGCUACACACGUGCUACAAUGGCGCAUACAAAGAGAAGCGACCUCGCGAGAGCAAGCGGACCUCAUAAAGUGCGUCGUAGUCCGGAUCGGAGUCUGCAACUCGACUCCGUGAAGUCGGAAUCGCUAGUAAUCGUGGAUCAGAAUGCCACGGUGAAUACGUUCCCGGGCCUUGUACACACCGCCCGUCACACCAUGGGAGUGGGUUGCAAAAGAAGUAGGUAGCUUAACCUUCGGGAGGGCGCUUACCACUUUGUGAUUCAUGACUGGGGUGAAGUCGUAACAAGGUAAGCGUAGCGAG
Molecule: ribosomal RNA, 521 nt
Filed under: uncultured bacterium
Lineage: Bacteria
Description: bacterial SSU rRNA
Rfam family: Bacterial small subunit ribosomal RNA
Source: RNAcentral